Molecule: ribosomal RNA, 451 nt
Filed under: uncultured bacterium
Lineage: Bacteria
Description: bacterial SSU rRNA
Rfam family: Bacterial small subunit ribosomal RNA
Source: RNAcentral
AGAGUUUGAUCCUGGCUCAGAUUGAACGCUGGCGGCAUGCCUUACACAUGCAAGUCGAACGGCAGCGCGGGGCAACCUGGCGGCGAGUGGCGAACGGGUGAGUAAUAUAUCGGAACGUACCCUGGAGUGGGGGAUAACGUAGCGAAAGUUACGCUAAUACCGCAUACGAUCUAAGGAUGAAAGUGGGGGAUCGCAAGACCUCAUGCUCCUGGAGCGGCCGAUAUCUGAUUAGCUAGUUGGCGGGGUAAAAGCCCACCAAGGCAACGAUCAGUAGCUGGUCUGAGAGGACGACCAGCCACACUGGAACUGAGACACGGUCCAGACUCCUACGGGAGGCAGCAGUGGGGAAUUUUGGACAAUGGGCGCAAGCCUGAUCCAGCAAUGCCGCGUGAGUGAAGAAGGCCUUCGGGUUGUAAAGCUCUUUUGUCAGGGAAGAAACGGUGGGGGCUAA